RNAcentral lists this unclassified non-coding RNA (336 nucleotides) under soil metagenome. RNAcentral's name for it is "partial contains 5.8S ribosomal RNA, internal transcribed spacer 2, and large subunit ribosomal RNA". The stretch from base 1 to 120 matches the Rfam family "5.8S ribosomal RNA", at positions 35 to 154 of the family's 154-position model. The record is from RNAcentral.
GAUGAAGAACGCAGCGAAAUGCGAUAAGUAAUGUGAAUUGCAGAAUUCAGUGAAUCAUCGAAUCUUUGAACGCACAUUGCGCCCGCCAGUAUUCUGGCGGGCAUGCCUGUUCGAGCGUCAUUUCAACCAUCAAGCCCCAGGCUUGUGUUGGGGACCUGCGGCUGCCGCAGGCCCUGAAAACCAGUGGCGGGCUCGCUGUCACACCGGGCGUAGUAGAUUUUAUCUCGCUCAGGGCGUGCUGCGAGUUCCGGCCGUUAAAAAGCCUUUUUUACCCAAGGUUGACCUCGGAUCAGGUAGGAAGACCCGCUGAACUUAAGCAUAUCAAUAAGCGGAGGA